Molecule: ribosomal RNA, 441 nt
Filed under: uncultured bacterium
Lineage: Bacteria
Description: partial 16S ribosomal RNA
Rfam family: Bacterial small subunit ribosomal RNA
Source: RNAcentral
CCUACGGGUGGCAGCAGUGGGGAAUAUUGCUCAAUGGGGGAAACCCUGAUGCAGCAACGCCGCGUGAGUGAGGAAGUAUUUCGGUAUGUUAAGCCCUAUCAGCAGGGAAUAGAAAAGAAGGUACUUGCAAAAGAAGCACCGGCUAACUACGUGCAAGCAGCCGCGGUAAUACGUAGGGGGCAAGCGUUAUCCGGAUUUACUGGGUGUAAAGGGAGCGUAGACGGAAAGGCAAGUCAGAAGUGAAAGCCCAAGGCUCAACCACGGUACGGCUUUUGAAACUGUCAAACUAGAGUACGGGAGAGGUAAGUGGAAUGCCUAGUGUAGCGGUGAAAUGCGUAGAUAUUAGGAGGAACACCAGUUGCGAAGGCGUCUUACUGGACCGAAACUGACGUUGAGGCUCGAAAGCGUGGGGAGCAAACAGGAUUAGAUACCCCAGUAGUA